GCUUGCUUUUGAUGGGCGUCGACCGGCGCACGGGUGAGUAACGCGUAUCCAACCUGCCCACCACUUGGGGAUAACCUUGCGAAAGUAAGACUAAUACCCAAUGAUAUCUCUAGAAGACAUCUGAAAGAGAUUAAAGAUUUAUCGGUGAUGGAUGGGGAUGCGUCUGAUUAGCUUGUUGGCGGGGUAACGGCCCGCCAAGGCAACGAUCAGUAGGGGUUCUGAGAGGAAGGUCCCCCACAUUGGAACUGAGACACGGUCCAAACUCCUACGGGAGGCAGCAGUGAGGAAUAUUGGUCAAUGGACGAGAGUCUGAACCAGCCAAGUAGCGUGCAGGAUGACGGCCCUAUGGGUUGUAAACUGCUUUUAUAAGGGAAUAAAGUGAGUCUCGUGAGACUUUUUGCAUGUACCUUAUGAAUAAGGACCGGCUAAUUCCGUGCCAGCAGCCGCGGUAAUACGGAAGGUCCGGGCGUUAUCCGGAUUUAUUGGGUUUAAAGGGAGCGUAGGCCGGAGAUUAAGCGUGUUGUGAAAUGUAGACGCUCAACGUCUGCACUGCAGCGCGAACUGGUUUCCUUGAGUACGCACAAAGUGGGCGGAAUUCGUGGUGUAGCGGUGAAAUGCUUAGAUAUCACGAAGAACUCCGAUUGCGAAGGCAGCUCACUGGAGCGCAACUGACGCUGAAGCUCGAAAGUGCGGGUAUCGAAC
RNAcentral lists this ribosomal RNA (702 nucleotides) under uncultured bacterium. Its description in RNAcentral is "bacterial SSU rRNA". It matches the Rfam family "Bacterial small subunit ribosomal RNA", at positions 72 to 773 of the family's 1533-position model. The record is from RNAcentral.